GAUGAACGCUGGCGGCGUGCUUAACACAUGCAAGUCGAACGGAAAGGCCCAAGCUUGCUUGGGUACUCGAGUGGCGAACGGGUGAGUAACACGUGGGUGAUCUGCCCUGCACUUCGGGAUAAGCCUGGGAAACUGGGUCUAAUACCGGAUAGGACCACAGUUUGGAUGGUGUGGUGGAAAGUUUUUCGGUGUGGGAUGAGGGCGCGGGCUAUCAGCUUGUUGGUGGGGUAAUGGCCUACCAAGGCGAUGGAGGGUUGGCGGGCCGGGGAGGGGGUCGGGCCACAUUGGGACUGGGAGACGGCCCAGACUCCUACGGGAGGAAGCGGGGGGGAAGAUGGCACAAGGGGCGCAAGCCUGAUGCAGGGAGGCCGGGGGGGGGAUGACGGCCUUGGGGUUGUAAACCCCUUUCGCUAGGGACGAAGCGUUAUGUGACGGUACCUGGAGAAGAAGCACCGGCUAACUACGUG
Molecule: ribosomal RNA, 467 nt
Filed under: uncultured bacterium
Lineage: Bacteria
Description: partial 16S ribosomal RNA
Rfam family: Bacterial small subunit ribosomal RNA
Source: RNAcentral